UGAGUGUUUGUUUCACCGUGUCUACAAGAUGAAUCUUUGCUUGUUUGUUUAGGUGCGCAACUAAAUGAAUAGGUUAGGGUUCUAAUGCUAGGAGAGUAACACUAGAUUCGUAUAUGUCGUGUGUUGAUUCCAAUUGAGUAGCAAAAUGUUUUCUUGAAUUACAUGUGACUCAAACCCUAGGUUUAGCAAGACUACCAAUGUACUUGU
RNAcentral lists this long non-coding RNA (207 nucleotides) under Rosa chinensis. RNAcentral's name for it is "sRNA RchiOBHm_Chr0c16g0499711". Lineage: Eukaryota; Viridiplantae; Streptophyta; Magnoliopsida; Rosales; Rosaceae. The record is from RNAcentral.